AUUUCCCCUCCACUUUACUCUUCCUCCCCCACUGAAGUACACACCAGCGCCAUUCUUCUUCCUUUCUCUCUCAACACCAUCAAUCAGACGACUAAGAAUCUCACCGGCACAUCUCACCAAAACCCUUCAUCUCCAAGCGCCACGGACUGCCGCUUAGCCGGAGAAGAAGACUAACCCACUGCCAUGGCCGCUUUCAAGCCAUGGCGUAAAGUGCAAAUGCAUGUGCAGGACCUCGAUCGUGAUGCAAAACGAUUGGAAAUCCGGACGCAAUUAGGUCUUCAUCAUCUGGUUUAUUUUUCUAUAUCUGUUUGAUAGAUCUCAUAUGCCCCUUAUUUUGCUUUACAUUUGAUAAAUCUCCAAUAUACCCCUUGUUUGCCCGAUUUGCAUGUCUUUGUUAGUGUUAAUUUUUUUGGGUUUGAUGUAUAUGUCUGUGAUUUCCGCUGGAAGUUGUCUUUGAAUAAAGUUUGUAUUUUUUCUGCUUGUUUUCCCAUGUGAAGUGGUGUGUUACAGAAGUGCUUGUUUAGGGUUUCAUACUUGUUGAUUGGGGCUUCCUAGCCUAUUUAGUGCUCAAUUGGGUUGGCUAUUUUGAUAGGAAAUGGAGAAGAACAAAACCCUAACUUUUGAAGACUCAUGUUGAAUGUCAAGGCCAAGAUUUCAGUGAUAAGGGGGAAAAAUGAUACGAUGAAGAUACUCCAAGCUUUUGUUCCUGGAUGUGAGAUUGAAGCAAAGAGUAGAAAUCACAACUUCAGCAAAGAACUCGCUUUCAAGGAAGGGGUUUGAUCAUUGCUGCUUCUUGAGAAGGUUUUCAGGGGUUUGCAUCUUUUGUCGGCCAUAUUUGACCUCUGAGUGAGAGGGAGAGAAGCUAAUUUUUUCCUCAGACCAUUUUCAAUCAACCGCAAAAGUACAAGUAACGAUUAGGCCCGAGUGAUUUUUGUGCCAUGGUGAGGAAGCAUAAAAAGGGAUGGACCCAUGGGAGCUUAAAUUAUUGAGAUAAGAGGAGAGUUACUUUACUUUUUUAGAACUUGUACAUGAUCAAGCUGCAACAAUUUGAUAUUUUGUUAUCAGUAUGGUCGUUGGUGAUUAUAAUGAUCAAGUAUGGACAUAAAGGUGCAACAGGAGACCAAUUGGACAAAGGGCAAAAUUUCAAUCACCUAUGAGGCAAAGCUGACUACCAUCUUGAGGAUUCCCCCCUUAGCUUGG
Rhododendron vialii is the source of this 1200-nucleotide long non-coding RNA. RefSeq lists it as uncharacterized. NCBI's taxonomy places the organism in Eukaryota, Viridiplantae, Streptophyta, Magnoliopsida, Ericales, Ericaceae. The transcript has 5 exons. The record is from RefSeq and is a predicted model, not a curated record.